Molecule: microRNA precursor, 99 nt
Filed under: Salicornia europaea (common glasswort)
Lineage: Eukaryota; Viridiplantae; Streptophyta; Magnoliopsida; Caryophyllales; Amaranthaceae
Description: miR11039 stem-loop (seu-MIR11039)
Source: miRBase by way of RNAcentral
CAACUAAAAUUGGAAAUUGUUGCUAGUAAUUCAUUACAGAGGGAGUAGUUUUUUGAUCUGUACAAGACAUAGUGGCAGACAACGUUCUGAGUUAUUUAU